CCAAAAAGAGCCGGGGGUAUUGGUUUCAGAGACAUGCAUUUGUUUAACCAAGCAUUGUUGGCCAAGCAAGGUUGGAGGCUCCUGCAAAAUCCAGAUAGUCUGUGUGCGAGAGUCCUAAAAUCUAAAUACUACCCAAAUGGGAAUCUGUUGGAUACAGUGUUUGCACAUGAUGCUUCGCCGAUGUGGAGAGCUAUUGAGUUUGGCUUGGAACUAUUGAAGAAGGGGAUUAUUUGGAGGGUGGGAGAUGGAAAAAGUAUACAAAUCCAAAGGGAUCAAUGGAUCUUGAGAAAGGAAGGCCUCAUGACAGCCGCUUUUGUGAGGCGUUCCCGGAUCAGAUGGGUCAACCAACUCAUGGAACCAGUAGGAAAGCAUGGAAUGAAAUGCUCAUCAGACAAAUUUUCCACCCCUUCGAUGCUGAUGAGAUCUGCAAACUCAGCAUUCCAACCUCGGAGGUAG
RNAcentral lists this ribosomal RNA (456 nucleotides) under Triticum aestivum (bread wheat). RNAcentral's name for it is "partial small subunit ribosomal RNA". Lineage: Eukaryota; Viridiplantae; Streptophyta; Magnoliopsida; Poales; Poaceae. The record is from RNAcentral.